This 538-nucleotide ribosomal RNA is filed under the name uncultured bacterium. RNAcentral describes it as "bacterial SSU rRNA". It matches the Rfam family "Bacterial small subunit ribosomal RNA", at positions 777 to 1314 of the family's 1533-position model. The record is from RNAcentral.
AAUAGAUACCCGGGUAGUCCACGCCGUAAACGUUGGGCACUAGGUGUGGGGACCAUUCCACGGUCUCCGUGCCGCAGCUAACGCAUUAAGUGCCCCGCCUGGGGAGUACGGCCGCAAGGCUAAAACUCAAAGGAAUUGACGGGGGCCCGCACAAGCGGCGGAGCAUGCGGAUUAAUUCGAUGCAACGCGAAGAACCUUACCAAGGCUUGACAUGCACCGGAAACACUCAGAGAUGGGUGCCCCGCAAGGUCGGUGCACAGGUGGUGCAUGGUUGUCGUCAGCUCGUGUCGUGAGAUGUUGGGUUAAGUCCCGCAACGAGCGCAACCCUCGUCCCAUGUUGCCAGCGGGUUAUGCCGGGGACUCAUGGGAGACUGCCGGGGUCAACUCGGAGGAAGGUGGGGAUGACGUCAAAUCAUCAUGCCCCUUAUGUCUUGGGCUUCACGCAUGCUACAAUGGCCGGUACAGAGGGCUGCGAUACCGUAAGGUGAGCGAAUCCCGAAAAAGCCGGUCUCAGUUCGGAUUGGGGUCUGCAACUCCG